Molecule: long non-coding RNA, 401 nt
Organism: Oncorhynchus tshawytscha (Chinook salmon)
Lineage: Eukaryota; Metazoa; Chordata; Actinopteri; Salmoniformes; Salmonidae
Source: Ensembl
GGGACAGAGCUAGGGGACAAGGGGCUAGGGGACAGAGUUAUCGGACAAGGUUAUCGGACAAGGUGCUAGGGGACAGAGCUAGGGGACAAGGGGCUAGGGGACAAAGAUUAUCGGACAAGGGGCUAGGGGACAGAGCUAGGGGACAGAGCUAUCAGACAAGGGGCUAGGAGACAGAGCUAGGGGACAAGGGGCUAGGGGACAGAGCUGUUGGACAAGGGGCUAGGGACAGAGUUAUCAGACAAGGGGCUAGGGGACAGAGUUAUCAGACAAGGGGCUAACGGACAGAGCUAGGGACAGAGCUAUCAGACAAGGGGCUAGGGGACAGAGCUAGGGGACAAGGGCUAGGGACAGAGCUAUAGGGGACAGAGUUAUCAGACAAGGGGAGAGCGGACAGAGCUAGG